GUGGACUCAGGCAGUGUGGGGACCAGUUCGUACGAAUUUUUCUGUUGGCAGACGCCACAUCUUGCGAUAUAUUGGACUCUUCUUACAAAGGAAAUUGACAAGGCUUGAUUAGUAGGGCCUCUCUCUGAUAAUAUCUUGUCUCUGGGCGUUCUGAACUUUGAUUCCAUCACAUCCAGCUUGAAGUUACAAGUUACGUGGCCGGGCAUUGCUAAAUGGCAGAGCAGAUAGGAGAUAGCAAGUACUAUAAGACAGAAGUGUGACUUGAGUAAACCCAGUCUUGUUUAUCAUCUAGAUCUAUGGUUUGUAAAAGUAAGGCCUUGAUAAACUGGAACUUUUGUACUGAUUGGAUGUAAAUGUGAGGCCUGUUAAGGCCUUGAGAAUACCCGAACCUUGGUACAGAUUUGGUGUAAAAAUCUUGGGCAGCAGGUAACUGCCUCUGUUGUCCGUGAACACAGGUAAAAAUAGCAAACUGAAUUUUUGAACCACAGGCCAAUCAUGACAGUCAGGAGCUUUUAGAAGUAAGUGUAAUAUGAUAGUGUGUUUUAAUCUGUAAUACUGGAAUAACACACAGGAAUAAAACAUUUUAAUAAAAAUUUUGUCAAAAGUACAAUAUCAAGAAAUAAAUUCUAUUAAAGAGCAGUCACUCACCUGUGUAAAUUGCUGAGAGUAAUGUUAAGGGAAAACUGUAAUAACCAUGAAGUACAUAUUGUGCAGGGGAUAAAUUUGUACUUGAAGGUCCCAGGGAAGUCUGGUCAAGCUUUAUAGAGUAGAAUGUGGCCCUAAAAACAGAGAAUGCUUAGUACAGUGGUAUUAUGAUGAUACAGUAUUGAAGAUAAAUCUUGAAGUUUCAUUUUGAUAUUCAUUUUAAGAUGUGAUUUGGUUAGAAAGUGGUACUACUAUUCUGUAAAUGCGUAUAGUAUUCCCAAUGUAGUGCACUAAAAAUCUGGUACAGAACUACUGGUUGGCCUGCGGAAUUUAAAUGUUGAAGUAAUAAUUUCAAGGUAUAUCAUUAAGAACUGAGAAAUUGCAUUUCAGUGGACAAAAGCCCAUUUUAGCUCCAAGACAUCUCUAAAAGAUGGUCACAGGAGUACAAAACCUGAGCACAAGACUGUCUGCAAAGCAGGUUAGCUUUUAAUUUAUCAUAACCAAGUGUGCAAUAUGUGGGGCUGUGUGGCAACUUAAUGUGAUGUUAAGUGAAUAAAGUUAAAUGUACAGCGUAGACUCUGUCUAGUUAACUAAUUGACGAAUGUUUAAAUUCUAGUGGGGAAAACAGUCCUAGAGUAUUAUAAGAAUAAGAAGUAACUCAACAGACAGGCGACUCAUUUCUCAAGAUGGGGAGCAUUUUGAAUACCAUUUUCAGACUUGAAAUGCUAAAAAUUUUGAGAAAGUAAUGGAUGAACUUUCAAGUCUAGGACUGUAUUUGCAUGGCUGGAGUAACUGAGUCAGUGUUUGGAUAUGAAAGCUCACAGAUUGUUUACAAUCAGUGUCCCUGUUAGUUACUGAGCCCUGUAUAUAAGAUAUUAAUUCCUGGUUGUAGGUGAUGGUGCCCAUAUUUUGCCACUUUACAAAUAAGAAAACCUAGGCUUUCAAUUACCCAGAUUUCGUCUUUUCGGGUGAUCCACAUUCUAGAAGUUUAUUGCAACUGUCAGCAAGAGAAAUUCAGUGACAAUGUGUCCUUUACCUUAAUAAAAGGGGCCCAGGUACAGGUCUGGCUGUAGUUAAUUGUGACUUGAGUUUAAUAUUUUGUAAGCAAAGACAUUUUGAAGUAGACGUGAGAUGAUAAUGAGGUUCUUAUUUUUACAGAAAUUCGUAAUUUGUGAAGUGGACUUUGACAUCUGAUUUAAUUAACAUCACAAGAUUCUUCCUAAAGAAGCAUUCUUCUGUACCUUUUUAUUAUUAGGCUUGUAUAAUUGGUCAACUUAAUAAAUAUGUUAAUGGUAGAGAAUGGUCAGUAAAAUAUCUUGGUAUAAGAUACAGUUUCGAAUUUUAAUUUUUCAUCAGUUUAAUGGCAGCUAUAAAAUAGUUUGGUAGGGUUUAGGAUGGACAGAGUUCAAUUAAAUUCCUUACA
This is a long non-coding RNA of Macrobrachium nipponense, 2068 nucleotides long. RefSeq lists it as uncharacterized. The record is from RefSeq and is a predicted model, not a curated record. NCBI's taxonomy places the organism in Eukaryota, Metazoa, Arthropoda, Malacostraca, Decapoda, Palaemonidae. The transcript has 3 exons.